UACGUAGGUCCCGAGCGUUGUCCGGAUUUAUUGGGCGUAAAGCGAGCGCAGGCGGUUCUUUAAGUCUGAAGUUAAAGGCAGUGGCUCAACCACUGUACGCUUUGGAAACUGGAGAACUUGAGUGCAGAAGGGGAGAGUGGAAUUCCAUGUGUAGCGGUGAAAUGCGUAGAUAUAUGGAGGAACACCGGUGGCGAAAGCGGCUCUCUGGCCUGUAACUGACGCUGAGGCUCGAAAGCGUGGGGAGCAAACAGG
Molecule: unclassified non-coding RNA, 252 nt
Filed under: uncultured Streptococcaceae bacterium
Lineage: Bacteria; Bacillati; Bacillota; Bacilli; Lactobacillales; Streptococcaceae
Description: contains 16S-23S intergenic spacer region
Rfam family: Bacterial small subunit ribosomal RNA
Source: RNAcentral